This 299-nucleotide long non-coding RNA is filed under the name Nicotiana benthamiana. RNAcentral's name for it is "long non-coding RNA (NBEN_LNC009512)". The record is from RNAcentral. Lineage: Eukaryota; Viridiplantae; Streptophyta; Magnoliopsida; Solanales; Solanaceae.
AUUGUGGAAAACCAUAUACCAAUUUUGAUCAUUGUCAUAUUAUUAUUGUGGUGAUACUAUUCACAUAUUGCUCAAGUCUUGUAAAGAAUUCUUGUGGUGACAUACAACUUCAAGACAUUCUUGAAGAAAGGUUAAAGGAGCAAUGUUCAUAAGGACUCAAAGACAAUCAUCAAAGGAGGUUCAACAAUUUCCACACAUGGAUUCAGGUUAGCGUCCGCUCAUGUAGUUUAAUUCCGAAUUGUUCAAUAUGAAGGUUAUUGUCUUUAGUAGGAAUCAUAAUUCUAACAAUUGGUAUCAGA